This 305-nucleotide long non-coding RNA is filed under the name Brassica napus (rape). Its description in RNAcentral is "long non-coding RNA (BNAP_LNC011806)". The record is from RNAcentral. Lineage: Eukaryota; Viridiplantae; Streptophyta; Magnoliopsida; Brassicales; Brassicaceae.
AAAACUAUUAAAAAAUUAUAGUUGGUCUAAUUAAUUAGGAUUUAGAGAAAUUGUAUCCUAUACAUACAACUUUUUUCUUAAUUAGGUAAAUACCCAAAAUCCCACAUAAUGGUGCUUUGAUUGCUAGACACUAAAAUUUAAUGUUAUAGGUAGAUUGCUAAUAUUCAUAUUUUUUUUGUAUAAUGAGCCAAUUGACUCUUAAUUAUAUCACUGAUUAGAGCCCUAUUAUACCCUGAAGAUACUACUAAAAUCUCAAGCUCAAACACUUAAAAGCUUAGAGCAUCACAGUUCUCUUAUUUCCCAAC